AGAGAUGAUGGCAACGGGUGAGUAAUACAUAGGUAACCUGCCCCUGUGCGGGGGAUAACAGGAGGAAACUCCUGCUAAUACCGCAUAGCCAUGAGCACCGCAUGGAGCUCAUGCCAAAUAUCCUUUAUGGGAUAGCGCAUGGAUGGACCUAUGGCGCAUUAGCUUGUUGGCGGGGCAACGGCCCACCAAGGCAACGAUGCGUAGCCGGCCUGAGAGGGCGGACGGCCACAUUGGGACUGAGACACGGCCCAGACUCCUACGGGAGGCAGCAGUAGGGAAUUUUCGGCAAUGGGGGAUUUCCGGACCAUUUGAACGCCGCAUGAGCGAAGAAGCCUUCUGGUCGUUUAGCUCUGUUGUAAAGGAAGAACGGCGCAUACAGGAAAUGGUAUGCGAGUGACGGUACUUUACCAGAAAAGCCACGGCUUAACUACGUGCCAGCAGCCGCGGUAAUACGUAGGUGGCGAGCGUUAUCCGGAAUCAUUGGGUGUAAAGAGGGAGCAGGCGGCCGCAAGGGUCUGUGGUGAAAGACCGAAGCUAAACUUCGGUAAGCCAUGGAAACCGGGCGGCUAGAGUGCGGAAGAGGAUCGUGGAAUUCCAUGUGUAGCGGUGAAAUGCGUAGAUAUAUGGAGGAACACCAGUGGCGAAGGCGACGGUCUGGGCCGCAACUGACGCUCAUUCCCGAAAGCGUGGGGAGCAAAUAGGAUUAGAUACCCUAGUAGUCCACGCCGUAAACGAUGGUCACUAAGUGUCGGGGGUCAAACCCCGGUGGUGCAGUCAACGCAAUAAGUGACCCGC
RNAcentral lists this ribosomal RNA (795 nucleotides) under uncultured bacterium. Its description in RNAcentral is "bacterial SSU rRNA". It matches the Rfam family "Bacterial small subunit ribosomal RNA", at positions 88 to 872 of the family's 1533-position model. The record is from RNAcentral.